RNAcentral lists this ribosomal RNA (397 nucleotides) under Gigaspora rosea. Its description in RNAcentral is "LSU rRNA". It matches the Rfam family "Eukaryotic large subunit ribosomal RNA", at positions 358 to 668 of the family's 3401-position model. Lineage: Eukaryota; Fungi; Glomeromycota; Glomeromycetes; Diversisporales; Gigasporaceae. The record is from RNAcentral.
GGAAAGAUGAAAAGAACUUUGAAAAGAGAGUUAAAUAGUACGUGAAAUUGUUGAAAGGGAAACGAUUGAAGUCAGUCAUGCCAGCGGGAAUCAACUUAGAGGAAACUCUAGGUGCACUUCUUCGCUUGGCAGGUUAGUGUCGAUCUUGGAUGUCAUAAAAUGACUGGGGGAAGGUAGCUCCUUUGGGAGUGUUAUAGCCCUUGGUAGAUGUGAUGUCUGGAAUCGAGGAUUGCAAUGGAUACCUUUUGGGGCUAGCCGCCUGAUCUCUAAUUGGUAUUGGGUUACGGAUAGCAUGCUGACCGUGAUCUAAUUAUUGGUUAAAAGGUUAGAGCCUGCAUAAAUUCAUUAAGGAUGUUGACGUAAUGGCUUUAACCGACCCGUCUUGAAACACGGACCA